AUGGCGGGACUCAAGCCCAGCGUCAACCUCUUCGCGCUCCUCGACCGCAAUGAUCCCGGGGACAAGCUCGUUAUCGACCUCGACGACGCCAAUUCCAAGCAAGAUGCGCCGGCGGCCAAGCACAAGAAGACGGCGACGCCGGCUGCCAGUCUUACCAAGGAUCUAUUCGCCCAGGCAUACCCUACCGCACGUGAUUACGUAAUCAGGAAAAAUCAGCUGGAGAGACAGGCCCGGGCCAGGGCCAGGGCGGAGGCCGAGGCGGCUGCAAGGGCAAAGGUUUCCGGCGAUGAUAAGAACGCGGGGGCUUCGGCCGACAGCAGCAAGGUACAAGAUGGAGCAAGGCAAGGCAGAUACUACAACAACAACAACAACUACUACUACAACAACGGAGCAUCGAGGAAGCAGCAACCCGGCAUGCCGGGCAAAUUCGGAGCUCCACAGAGGCAGCAACCCAACAUGCCGCUGAACGGGGCGGCACCUGCAGAAGGCGUGGAGGCGCCGCCGGCACCCCAGCAGGCUCCUCGGCCACCGCCACCGAGCCUAGAUGACACCAACGAGUUUCCUUCCUUGAAGUAG
RNAcentral lists this ribosomal RNA (576 nucleotides) under Triticum aestivum (bread wheat). RNAcentral describes it as "partial small subunit ribosomal RNA". Lineage: Eukaryota; Viridiplantae; Streptophyta; Magnoliopsida; Poales; Poaceae. The record is from RNAcentral.